Long non-coding RNA from Homo sapiens (human), 1576 nucleotides. Ensembl annotates it as endogenous Bornavirus like nucleoprotein 3, pseudogene. Its record names the gene EBLN3P. The record is from Ensembl. NCBI's taxonomy places the organism in Eukaryota, Metazoa, Chordata, Mammalia, Primates, Hominidae.
GGAAGUGCCUUCUCUCCUCCCGGGUCUGCGCGGACGCGGCCUCCUUACCUCAUUUGUCCUCGCCCCUCCCCGUCCCUCUACGCGUUUUGGUCCCUGUUUGGUGCUUUCUGUUUGCAGCUACGGCAGUGAGUAUGGAAGCCAGUCAGUGAAGCGCGGAGGUCCGGGCGCGCCGAGAGAGAGUCCAGUCUUUGAGGACCGAGUAGUCCUGGGCCACCUCCCGCCUCUGCUGUCAGAAGCAGCAGCUGCCGCCGUGGAAUCCAAAAUUUCGGGAGCUGUGACCCUUUCCUCAUGUAAAACGAGUAGUCUUGGACGGCUGGAGUGUAGUGGCGUGAUCAUAGCUCACUGUCAACUUUGAACACUUGGGCUCAAGCUAUCCUCCCUCAGCCUCCCAAGGUGGGAGGUACAGAUCUGGGCAUAGGAACCAAUCAGAAACAAUCGCUUCAGCAAUCAAGACCAUUGUUCAUCAUGGAGGAACCCAUGGAUACCUCUGAGCCUCUAUCUGCAUUACCAUUCACUGGGCAGCAGUCUUUUGAGCCAAGUGGCAAAUUUGGACAGUAUCCAUCGAUGCAGAUGAACCACAUCCAGGCACUGGGGAAGUGGAGGACAUAGAACAGCUCAAUCAGUGUUUGAUCCAACACUUCCAUCUCAUUAAGACAAGUUUGAUUUUUCUUUGCUUUUUAUUUCAUGGAAUACAUGAGAAUCUCUUAACUGUUGGAGUUUCCAAGGAGGCAUACCUCAUGACUUCAGUUAAUGGAAAGAACAAAACUAAAAUGCUGUAUGGCCAAAGCCACAAAGGGAAGGAUCCACAAUUUACAUUCUUGGAGCUAUCAUCUGUACUGUACUGUUGUGAUCUACUGAUUGGCAUUGGCAUAGUAGUAGGGGUCAAGUGACAGAAUCCGUGCCAGCAGUCUCCAGGUUCAGAAGCAAUUCAAGACCCUGAUGAUAGCUCUCCAGCAACCAACACAUGGUGAUUGUGCCAACUUGUUGCUCAGUUAUAAUGCAGGGCCAGUGAUUGGUUUAAGUGAAGACCAUGGUUGAGAUCAUUUGUCUUUGGUCUAAUAGAAUUUGAGUCUAGUAGAAUUUGAGUCUCCAGGGAAAGAGCUACUUGACCAAAUUAAACUAGUAGCAGGUAGAGCAUGAAUGACAGCAUAUUAUACCAUCAAGAUGUUCUUAGAGCAGUGUAUGGAUGGAUCGAUUGUACUGCCAUCAGUUGUGACUGACGUUGUAUUCAAGGAGAAAGAGAAACUUGUUUAGAAAGCACUUUGAAAGUUUUUUGAGUACGGGGGUGCCCUGUAUCACCCCGUUAUGGUUGAACUUUCUCCUUCAAAAUUACCAGACUUGGCAGCAGUGGCAAAUUAUUGGGCUAAAAGACUUAAUCAGACAUAUUCUGGGUUCAAGGCUCCUAAUAUAAUACCUGGUGCAAACAUUAUACUUCCACUCAUUCAGAUGGUUGCAUCCUGCCAGGCAUCCAGUGGGACUGGGAAUAUGGACACUUGAACAUUAAACAUCCUGAAGAAUUUUGGAAUGACAGGUUACAAGUGAACAUAAUCAGUUCUCUAUAUUAAAAAAAAAAAAA